This is an RNA transcript of Haliotis rufescens (red abalone), 1443 nucleotides long. It is a transcript of the gene named RNA-binding protein lark-like, with no coding region annotated. Lineage: Eukaryota; Metazoa; Mollusca; Gastropoda; Lepetellida; Haliotidae. The transcript has 9 exons. The record is from RefSeq and is a predicted model, not a curated record.
GGCAAACCAAACAUUUUUUUCAUAACAUUUAGUAAGGUUAUGUGGUAAAUUUCGUUACAUUAGUUAGCUCCCUUGCGAGCAUCUGCUGCCAACAGGAGGCGCUACGAAACAGAAACAAAGCGUCAGUACAUCGUGAAAACCAAGACCUAAUAUGUCGAGCAAAGUACCCACAAAAGUGUUUGUGGGUAACCUUACAGAAUCAUGCUCCAAAAUCCAUUUACAGAGAAUGUUCGAGGCAUAUGGAAGUAUUGUAGAGUGUGAUAUCAUCAGAAAUUAUGCAUUUAUUCACUUUGCUGAUGCAGAUGAAGCUAAAACUGCUGUUGACAACCUAGAUGGAUCAAACUUUGAAGGAUCUAACAUUAAGGUUGAGCUGUCACAUAGUAAGGUCAGACAGAAGCCAGGGAUGGGCAGGAAAGGAGACUGUUACAGAUGUGGGAAGGAAGGACACUGGUCAAAAGAUUGCCCCAAAGGACCGUCCCGACCUCCUCGCAAACCUGGUCGCGAUGAUCCGUACAAGUCUCCAUACAGGGAUCCCAGAGAUCUUAGAGAUCCUUACUACAGAGACCCAUAUGAUGAUCCCUACUACAGAGACCGUUACCUGCCUCCUCCCCCUAUGGACAGAUACAGGCCAUAUGCUGACCCCUAUGAUCGACGCCCCCUUCCCCCACCCCCAAGGGAUCCAUACUACAGAGAGAGAGACCCCUAUGCCAGGCCCCCACCGGAGUACUAUGGCAGAAGGUCACCACCCCCAAGAGAUCCUUACUAUGACUACUAUGCAAGAGAGAGACCUUCUUGGGACUGAAAUAGCAUGUGUAACAAACUCACAUGCCCUUUCAUACAGCGUUGAAUAUCUCCUUACAGGAUGAAACCGAUCCAAGCUGUGUCAGCACAAGAGGAUGUCUGUCUGAAGAGGGAUUUGCUUGAUACAAGUACAAGACAAGCAUGAAACAAGCAAGCUUCACCUUCAGGGAGGAAGGGGAUCGUAGAAGAAUUACUGUUGCUGCAUCCAAGUUUUCAAGUCCAUCUGAUCUUGAAAAUUUGCCUCAUUGUGGCACCAUCAGCUUCCCAUAGCAAUUGUGAAUCAGCAAGGUGUUGGGAAUAAAAUUCUGAUCACUGGACUUAGAUACAUAACUGAUGUCUUAACACAAGCAAGACUCUUAUCUGUUUCACAAUACUAUUGCAGAUCCUGAUGAUCUUGUGAAGGCUGUAAUCAACUUUCACUACUUCACUAAAAAAUGGAGGUUGUGAAAGUACUUGACUUGUUUUUGCAAGGUUAACAGGAACAUACAAAUUCAGACUGACAUGUUUUUCAAAGAGGUUAUUGAAUCCUUGGGCUGCAUAUGUGAAUACAGAUGACUUCAAAUUAUGUCCAAGUCCUGAAAGUACAUUUCAUGUUUUGUAAAUGUCAUGAAAAUAAAAUCUGACACAAGAAGCCGCAAUAAA